AAACGAUGUCGAUUUGGAGUUUGUUGCCUAGAGUGAUGGGCUCCGAAGCUAACGCGAUAAAUCGACCGCCUGGGGAGUACGGCCGCAAGGUUAAAACUCAAAUGAAUUGACGGGGGCCCGCACAAGCGGUGGAGCAUGUGGUUUAAUUCGAUGCAACGCGAAGAACCUUACCUGGUCUUGACAUCCAUAGAAUUCUGCAGAGAUGUGGGAGUGCCUUCGGGAACUAUGAGACAGGUGCUGCAUGGCUGUCGUCAGCUCGUGUUGUGAAAUGUUGGGUUAAGUCCCGCAACGAGCGCAACCCUUAUUCUUUGUUGCCAGCGAUUUGGUCGGGAACUCAAAGGAGACUGCCGUUGAUAAAGCGGAGGAAGGUGGGGACGACGUCAAGUCAUCAUGGCCCUUACGACCAGGGCUACACACGUGCUACAAUGGCGUAUACAAAGGGAAGCGAAGGUGCGAGCUGGAGCGGAUCUCAUAAAGUACGUCUAAGUUCGGAUUGGAGUCUGCAACUCGACUCCAUGAAGUCGGAAUCGCUAGUAAUCGUAGAUCAGAAUGCUACGGUGAAUACGUUCCCGGGCCUUGUACACACCGCCCGUCACACCAUGGGAGUGGGUUGCACCAGAAGUAGAUAGCUUAACCGCGAGGGGGGCGUUUACCACGGUGUGAUUCAUGACUGGGGUGAAGUCGUAACAAGGUAACCA
RNAcentral lists this ribosomal RNA (698 nucleotides) under uncultured Enterobacteriaceae bacterium. Its description in RNAcentral is "bacterial SSU rRNA". It matches the Rfam family "Bacterial small subunit ribosomal RNA", at positions 804 to 1502 of the family's 1533-position model. The record is from RNAcentral. Lineage: Bacteria; Pseudomonadati; Pseudomonadota; Gammaproteobacteria; Enterobacterales; Enterobacteriaceae.